This is a non-coding RNA of Caenorhabditis elegans, 312 nucleotides long. NCBI's taxonomy places the organism in Eukaryota, Metazoa, Nematoda, Chromadorea, Rhabditida, Rhabditidae. The record is from Ensembl.
AUCUGAUAAAAGAAUACACGAAUCUGUGAUAAAUCCACGAAACUGAAGAAGUUAGUGGACUUUGUGUAAAUUAUAGUGGCUAACGAGAGUUGCGGAUACCAACUGUUGUUGCGGGGAAAUGAUAUCCACUAAGAGCUUUAUCGUUCUCACAGAGUACCCUCUUGCACAAAGAGCAGCAGUCUGUGACUGAUUUUUUAGGAUCUUGUGUGUUUUGAGAGUGUGUCAAACACUCGGUCAGUUGAAGACUAGUGGCCAAGUGGGGUUGACAAGUUUUUUAAAUGAUAAAUGCUUGAUUAUUCUAAUAAGAUAAAG